Molecule: non-coding RNA, 4734 nt
Organism: Rhopilema esculentum
Lineage: Eukaryota; Metazoa; Cnidaria; Scyphozoa; Rhizostomeae; Rhizostomatidae
Source: RefSeq, a predicted model, not a curated record
GGGCUAAUUCGAGGAUUUACGGUAGUUACUUUGGUCAUGCUAAUUUUACUAAGUUUGAUUGGCAUAUGAUAAGAGAGUCGAGAUAUAACCCUCUCGUUGAAUAAACUAAAAGUGAUACUGGAUCGCCAAGUGCUGUUGUUGAACUAUAUUAAACUCUUUGUUUUUAUCAUCUAUAAGUAAUUUUAGCCUUGGAGUCUUUUGAUGUAAUACGUCCUUUUCCGUCACACAAAGUGGCUCUUUUUAUUUGGAAGUCGAUGUACUUUUUGUAUAAAUUAUUUCUAUAGCUUGAUAUAUCCAAAAUAGUCAAAAUAUACAUUUUGGAAUCAAUGCAAAAUACGGGAUGACAUGUAAAAAGAUCAGACGUUCUACUGCAAAUGAAUGCCUCUUUCAAUCAGCCAUCGACAUAUGAAAAUUUGGAAACCCGUGCAAUUUGAACAUUUCUCAUCCGUUCAGGAAAGAGGAAACACCAUUCUAACUCCUUUUUCGUCAUUCAGUUUCUCUGACCUCAGAAGUGCUCAAAGAAGGAGAUCCUUUUAUUUUUCAAAAGCGUCAAUACGUAGGGAAUACGGAUAAGUGAAAGCAUAUAAGCCUAUCAAGGCGCUGAUUGGAAGUUUCAGAUUUGUGUUGAUAAUCUAAUGUACCUCAAAAGUGCGUUUUAAUUCAGCAUUGAUUGCAUAUAAGCAAUACAAGACAUCAUUCCAGAGAUUACUGGUGCUCCAAUGCUCCUAAAUCGUUUGAUAACAACCAACAUUCACCAUUUGUUGACAGCCAAUUCACAUGAACAGGUUCAAAAGCUUGUCGUACUAUAACAGAAGUUACAGCAGCUGAUUAUUUGAAGCCAUGAAGAUUUCGCUUCUAUACUGAGGUCUUUUUGAACGUUUUUGACGUGCAGACAUUAAAACGGGAGAAUGUAUUCAGCUCGUCCCUCAGCUCCUCCGUACCCCAGCGAUGCACUGUUUGUGAGGCCUCGGAUGGAAGCCUGGGUUGACACAGUCGCUAUAAAUGAGCCACCACCACCCUACGAGUCGCCUGAACCAUCUGUUGCGCUUAACAUUCCACGCCGACCUCAACCCAACAGAAGUCCCAACAGAAGCCCCAACAGAAGUGAAUUUAGCCAUACUAUACCAUUACGUCAUUCGCAUUUUCGCGCUACUUUUUCCGAACAGGCAUCAGCCACAGUUAUAAGAGAUAGACAAAGAGCUAAGCUGCAGAUAGUCAAAUUUGAAAAGCAAUAUCUGUAUUCGAAAUUUGCAGUCCUCAAAGGCUUGGAACUUGUAGCAUGCACAGCAGCAUUCUCCACAUGUUUAGCGUUUCGAGAAAAGUUUGGCAUAGGCAUUCUCACAGGAGAUCGAUCCGGAUUUUUUAUGCUCUUGCACCUUAUCAGCUGGGUCCUUGUUCUCCUUCUCUUUUGGACAAGUUUGGUUGGGUAUAUGAAAGAAAUCUCAACGCCAUCGCAAUUCAUUAAGAUGAUCAUAACACACGUCAGCCUCGGUUUCUUGAUAUUGAUCAGUUCAGCGUUGUUAACCGACGCUCCAUUCACAGGAUUGUGUGAAGCAACAACAACAGUCUGUGUGAUAUUCAAGACUUCUGUUGCAUUUGGUUACCUUGCCGUGUUACUGUUUUGGUUGGACGCCGGAUUGCACUAUGUUACAUUCAAAAAUUCUAUUUUUCUGAUCUAAAAGUUCAUUAAUUUCUUUUCAAAUCUUUAUUGCGGCAAUCUUACGCAAUGAAAUUCCCUAAAACUUUGUUCCCUCCUCAGUGGUUUAAACAUUCGUUGGUCACCAGAAGAACUAGAAUGAAUCCGGAAGGCUGGGGGAAGGGGUAAGGGCUCUAAGCCUCUUUGUUUGAAUUUUAUCUGGUUAAAGUGUCCCUUGUCGACGUUGUAAUAAUGUCUUUCAUGGUAUCGCUAUCAUUAACACCGUAGAUUGUCUUUGUAUUCAUAGCCUGUCUCUGUCAGAGUCCUCGUCUUUGUUCGUUACUUCUUGUUUGGCUGUUCGGUGUGUUUGCUAAUGAACAUAGCUUUUCAAGAUGCGGCGUUUAAAAGAGGGCGGUGUUUAUCAGAGGGCGGCGUUUUUUUACAAAGGGUUGGCUGAAGGUGCAGCGUUCAAUAGAAGGCGGCGUUUAUAAGAGGGUGGCGUUCAUUAGAGGAAAUACGGUACACAUAUUAUGAAGUUCAGUCAGUAAAACACAUCAAAACUAAACGGUCACCUAACAUCGUCUAUUUCAGACUCAAUAUUUUGUGUACGUUAAAUAAGAUUUAAUAAAAUGCUUCAUGUGAACAGUUUUUGGGAGGUACAGAACUUGAUAAAGCAAAAAUGCUUCAUGUUUAAGAGGCCAUCACAUUAAAACCCAGUUCAUAUUAGCCCUGCAUUCAGACGCGGGACAUGUUCGUCCUGUAAGGCCAGCCAUUUAUUGUUGUUAUUUUAUAUUUGCAGAAUGUGUCCACCUUCUAAUAUAGUUCUGCAAAAUAUACCGCGGAAAGUAACAUUUUGUGUUUUUAUGUGUUAGUUGCACUGGUGUAUCAGUACUUAAGUCCGUUAUAUCUUGAACUUAAAUAGUUCUAAAUGGCAAUGUUUUCAUAACUUGUUGAAAGAAGAAAGACUCGCUCCGUGCUCUGUGAUUCCAACGGGCUAGUGAUCAUUUGAGAAUUUUAUCGUGAACAUGAUUAAAGCUUUAGAAAUCCCGAGAGAUUUAAAGAUUCCGUCGUUUUACUUUAAACAAAACCUACUUGGUAGGACGCAGAAGCCUCGCAAAGAGCUAGGCCAUUAUGAUCGAAAGUAAGUGGCUCGCUGUUUCAAUAUCAGGAUAUUGUAAGUUCCUUUAUUUAAUUCGUUUUCCUUUCGUUGUUUGAGAGUUCUUCUUACACCAGAUUUGAAGUUGUAAGAAACACGCGUUUGCUUUUUUGGCAACAUGAUGCAAAAUUCAAUAGUGCAAGUCUAUGCCAAUCAAACUACCUGAACCAUUUGCUAAAACUCUCUUUAUUUCCCAAAAGUUGUUUGCAAUUUCGAAAUAUUUAUACAGCUUUCGAAAUCCUUAUAGAGGUUUCGAGUUCCUUCUAGAGGUUUCGAAUUCCUUAAAAAUAUGCAGACUUGAACUUUGUUUCAAUAAACCCUAUAAAUCACAUACUACAGCUUUGCAUGGUAUUGACAGAUUGCUUAACUAAAAGUUUGGGCUGUCUGCUUGAGAGCAUGAACCCUUUAUUUGCGUUAGAACUAAAAUCGUUAGCCGUCAUCGAGUCCAAUACCCUUUAUGGGCAAAUAGUUGGCAUUAGAUGAGAAAGCUGUUGUAUAACUUUUCUAAUUGAAUAUUUUUGCCAGUUUUAACAUCGCAUGUCUAUUUAUUACAAAUGAUUGAUGACUCUUUUCCUCGUCGGACUUAACAAAAGUUUCUAUAAUUGGAAGUAUAUUCUAGUGUCUCUAAUAGAAGGGGGGAGGUAAUAGAAGGGGGUGUUCAUGUCAACCAGUUUUCAAAAGAAGGGGGUGCUAAUAGAAGGGGCUUUUAAUGUCGGCCAGUUUUCAAUAGAAGGGAGUUGCUAAUAGAAGGGAGUGUUCAGGUUGGCCAAUUUUCAAUAAAUGUCAGUAAAUUUCAAUAGCAAAGGGGAGCUAAUAGAAGGAGUGGAUGUUGGUAAAUCUUUUAAUUAAAAGGCUGUGUCUUAGAAAGAUUCCCCUCAAUUUAGGCGUUUUGUUCUCACAGACAGGAGCCUACUCUUUUUUAUAAAUCACAUCGCUUUUUCAUUCAAUUUUCUGCGUGUUCUGGUCCUGACAGAUUUGUAAAAUUUAAUAGAAGGGGGGUGCUAAUAAGCGACGGGGAGAGGAAAAAUUCUUCUGAAAUUAAUACACGGAGGGCGUCUAUUAGAGAGACUAUAGUAGCAUGGGAUACUUCGCUCUCGCUGUUACAUAACAAACAACAACAACGACAACCUACCAUGAAAAUUCAAAACAGAGAUGGAGCACAGUGAGGAAAGUCGCAGGACGAACAACAACGUCUCAACAUUGCAAAUGUUUUCUGUGCAGACAGUCUUGCCAGAAUACUCAAGCCAAGAUCGGAAUAUCAACCUUGAACUACCUGAUUACUGUGAUGAUGAGCCACCACCGCCAUAUAGCGAGAGAAUCAAAGUUCAAACAGAACUGCCGGUUACUCGCCCUCCAAGAUAUAAUCUGCCGAGUAGAUCACCUCUAGAAACUUCAUUGCAUCCCGCUAACGAUAAACCAUUUGUGUUUAACAAGGAUUUCGCGACUUCAAAAUUUGCUGUUUUAAAGUUGGCAGAGUUUAUUAUUUGUCUUAUUGGCCUGAUAUCGACAGCAUAUUUACAGAGACUAGAGGCUGGAAAGCAAAAGAAAGAUGUUGUAGGCUUCUUUAUGGUUUUUAUGGUUGCCAGUUUUGUGUUCACAGUCAUUGUAUUUUGGUUCCAUUUCAUCAGCAUUCUUAAAUACACUGGUCCACGUGCUAUGAACAAAUAUGUUGCAUUCACCUGCUUCAUUCUUGGAAUUUCACUUCUUGCAACAUCAGCCCUGCUUGCUGACAUAAACAGAAAGAAAAUAUGCACAUUUAUAAGAUUUAGCAAAAAAGAAUGUCAUUUGCACAGGUUUUCAAUGAUGUGUGGAUUCUUGGCAAUGAUUUUAUUCUUUGUUGAUUCUGUGGUAUACAUGAUCACAAGCAAAGGAGGAUGAAGAGGGUUUGGGAAUCUUUGAAUGAUUCAUGUAUCAGGUUCUAAAACAGCCAAUAUCUGAUGUG